This is a long non-coding RNA of Alosa sapidissima (American shad), 2504 nucleotides long. RefSeq lists it as uncharacterized. The record is from RefSeq and is a predicted model, not a curated record. The transcript has 3 exons. NCBI's taxonomy places the organism in Eukaryota, Metazoa, Chordata, Actinopteri, Clupeiformes, Clupeidae.
CAGUGAGGGGUUAGGUGCCUUGCUCAAGGGCACUUCAGCCGCUUUCUACUGGUCGGGGUUUGAACCGGCAACCCUCCGGUCACAAGUCCGGAGCGCUAACCAGGAGGCCACGGCUUCCCCAACUAAGAAUGCACUUGUGCACUCAUAUUAAGUAUUUAGUUUAACAGCAUGUGGGGUCGACACUGGUAAACCUCACGAGUGUUACAGAACCACCCUGCACCACCACACAGAAAAAGGCUGUGCCAACAUCGCAGUCUGUCUCAGAAUCACCACAGCAGUCUUACAGCGAAGCCGUAAAAAUAAAAAGUAAAAAUAUCAUGGCUGUCAGACUUUUAUUGAAAGAAAAAGUCAGAGGCUGCAAAUGCAAUGAUGUUAACAAAGCCAUGUAAUGGAUAGGAGCACCAGUGAGAGACAUGUUCAUUUGGUAAGUCAGGCCUCAUAGUCUCUCCUGAUGUUGUCUGAACGCGCCGUAAAACAGCAGGCGUUUAAUGGCCGAGGCCGGCCGACAUCAGACCGGGGAUCUCCGGUGCGGGGAACGCUGGGGCCUCCCUGACCCCUUCGCUAAGCGCCGCUAAGAGGGGAAAAGAGCGCGGCACGCAGACUCCAGCCACUAUUGGAAACUCUCAAUUGAGUGUUUCAACAUAUGUUGCCGCCCGAGAUGUCAAUCACCUCUCUGUUUUCUUCAAGAAUGGCUCCAAAUUAGGGAGUGUAAUUAUCAUUAAUUGAGCCCCUUUCAUAGAAUUCUGUGUUUUUCUUCUCUGCUUCUCAUCAUUCCGUCGCCAGUCAUUUUCACCGUGAGACAAAUACCCCUGUGGUAACCAUAGCGACCCCGUCUGCCCAUUCGUUCUGCCUGGCUAGGACAGCGAUGACCUUCCUGUGUUCUCUCCCAGACGUCACCAUUGACGCCUCCACCACCAGGGCGGCCAUCACUGUGGCCAUCCAUCUCCAGGACUGCCUUCUGAAGCGGCUCUCUCCUUACUAAUGAAGUACAGGCACCUGCACUUUCUCCACUCCAAACCCCCUCCCUCCUCCUCCUUCUCCUCCUCCCGUGACCCCUCAAGGUGUCUCACAUGUCAGCGUCAGCGUCAUGAAAGCAAGGCUGGGCUGGUCAGGGGUGGGAAGGCUACUCGAGGCAGGAAUCCAGAAGGAUCUAUACAGUAGAUGACUCUGCUAUAAAUUCACAUUAGUAAUAUUUACUGCAAUGUUAUAAUGCCAUUUGCAAUACUAUUUAGACACCGCUUUGAUCUGUUUGCUAUAAUACCAAACUGAAAUAACUAUGAACACAAGGAGCUGGUUAGUAAUUUAUUAUUAGUGAAAGCUGGCUUAUGUAGGGCAGACAUUUUUAUUUUGACACCCCCCAGAGCUGCUGUCUAAUGUCUACUGUUGCACACACAACUCUAGUUGCUGACAUGUUGGUGUGACAUGCAUUAUUUUGUUAUGUUGACAUUUAGGACUUCUGUUGCCUUUACCCAUGGGUUCAAUUAAUAAUUCUUGUUGGAAAACAAUUCAAAGUAAGACGAUGCAAAAAGCAUAAUGACACACUUCCUUCAUGCUUCAUAGGAGUUUUGUGCAUCAUGCACACCAAAUUGUACAAGCCCUGUGAAAGCAAAGCUUGAAUCAGUUUAAACAUAUAUUAUUACACAGCGCUUCAGAGUGCUGCAGAAAGUUCCAUUUGCAUGAAUAGGCCUUCCCAUUUGUAGGUCUGUGAAAACUAUAUUUACUACAAAGUAUAUAAUGACCGCUGUCAAUGGCAAUGGUUUUGUGCUUUUGUAUGGAGUGAUUUUUGUGCCACUAGAAACUGAAUCUGAAUAUUUUGUAUUUUCAUUUGAAUUGCUGAAUUUGAGCAAUUGUAUUGGGGGGAAAAACUGAUUUGAAUAUAUUUGGAAAUUAAAUUCAUAAGUUUGUAACUGAAUCCCAUAAACUUGAAACUGAAUGUAAUGUUUUGAUAUUAAAUGAAUUUGCUCUUCACUGAAAAUCCCACUCUCUAUAUGCACUUUCUGUUCUCACAAUUCAGUUUCAGACUGUGAAGUUCAAUUUCAAUCUAGUGAGACGCAACAGCUGUUGGCUGAGAAAGAGCAAUUGAGUGCCUAUCGCUGCUCUUUCACCUCUACAUAAAGCCAUAGUUAGGAACAGAAAUAAAAACCUAAUUGAUAAAUAAGGCAGAGAUUAUAGCAAGGGUCUGGUGUAGACUGCUCACAACCUAGGGUCUACAGUAUUUAUGGAUGAUAAUGAGUUCAAACAUUCUUUUGGGAGCAAAACACGUUAAUCUGAAGAGUUCUGAGCAACAUUAUGAAAUUACUUAUAAAUUGUAGGUUAACAGCAGCCAUGAGCCACAUCAAAAUAAAUUGCUGAUUUUAAUUCACUGAUAAGGUUCAACAGCCUUACUCUUCGGUGGUAGUGUGGAGAGGGUCCCUAAAAACAAAUGAAAGUAUCGUUAACUUUGAUGUUCUGUACAGAGAGGUUAUAACAAAAACAGUUUUUUGCAUUACCAAUGAAAACUGUAA